CCACUUAUUUUUAUUAUUAUUAUUAUAGUUAUUACUAUAAAUAUACCUUCUUUUCUUUUCUUUUCUUUUCUUUUAUUUUUAUUUUGGUUAACCAACCAUGUAUGUAGUAAGCACUGGUUUACAAAACUGUGUCACCUUCGUGUAUGCAUCCUGUCAUCCACAAGCUCUGAGUAACAACAGACAGAUAAAAUGAGUAAAGGAAUUCUUAAAUUAGAACUCCUUUUAAAACACUGCAUUUCAGUCAUAGUAAUAUGAUAAUGAUAAUACUCACUAUAAUGCUUAUAAUAACAGCAGAGCCUUCAGAGGUUGGCUUGCCAUGGCCAGCUGGAAGUGUCUCUCAAUGCACAACGGUGACAAGUUUUGCUCACUUUUAAUUCUUAACACAGUAGUGGCAUAAACCUAAAUAUGCCCCAAACUUUCAAGAAUCAAAGCUGCCGGAAUCAGCAUCGGUCUGUGGCUCAGCAGUGAUCCAGUGUGACUGGAUGGUUCUUCCAGUAUGCAAGGAGAGACUCUUACUCGCAGUUGAACUUUAAGAGAAAAAAAAAAAAAAGUAAAGUUCACAUCAAGUUUGUGACACUCUGGGGUGCCUUGUUGUGUCAAUGGGGUACCUGGUUUUAAGAGUGAAAAGGGUUACUUCAUUGCCAUCUACAUGACCAAAGAUGUUCUUGCCUACCUUAAAGGACAUAAUAGAAACAUCUGGUUGACUCUGCAUCUUGGUUGCUUGGCUUUUACUGAGUAAUGGAAGGAGGAGGGAAGACGACAAGAGCGGCACGUUACUGUCAUUGAAUGCAGUGAGGAUCCCUAAAGGAGAGAGUUGUAAGCAGAAGGUCUCUUGGCAAUGCAAUUAUGUAUCAGUUUUUAUAGAGAUAGCUCAAAGGAAUCUGAUUCCUCUUAAGAAGGUGAAUAGAAUGUGGGAUGGCUGAUGGGAAGGAAAGGGAAGAAUGGGAUCAUCCUGUUCCGCCCAAGGAAGGGAAGAGGGAAGGAUAGGAGUAGUGGGUGGGGAAGGUUGAAAUAAAAGCCACACUAGGAGAACCUCCAUUUCUGUUACCCACAGGAGUGAGGGAGAAGUUCUCAAGAAUGUGAAUGUGGUUUCCCUUUUUUCCUCCAUUAAUUUAGUGCUUUGGAGCAUUUUUAAAAAUAAUUUGAUCAUAUAAAUUAAUUACUUUUGCCAUAUCAGUCAAUAAAAGAGAUGAUAUUGGUGUAUUAAGUUAAUGAUACAACUUUAGAACUUCCCCUUCACUAAGUUAAGAUGUGUUUUACUUUUGAAACUGAAGUAUCAUCAUGUUAUUUUUGCUCUUUCUCUUUUCACAGGAAUUACAUGGAACGAAAGAAUAUUUAUUUUUCAGUUAAUUGCAGCCAGUGUAGUUAACUCAUUGGUACUAGGAGUGCAUUUAGACCUGGAUUGUUUACUGUGGUUUUGUUUCAUAAAUUUUAAUAGAUAACUCAAGAAGCACUUGUUCACUAGCAAGUUAAUGACUGGGGCUACAAUACCUCGCCUAUUCACUCCAUUUCAUGAAUUUUUGUGGUCUUGUAUGCUCAUUACUGUUAUUAUUGUUUGUUAUUUUAUAAUAUUAGUAAUUAUAAUGAUGAUAAUACUAAUAGCAUAAAUAACAAUGAUAAUACUACUUAGAAUCAAAGAUUCAAGGAAAGAGUAAACAGGUGAGAUCAGGAAGUUAACAACACAUGUGCACAAACAAAAUUAAAGCAGAACCACAUUGGGCAAUCAGGGAAUGUGUUCAUUUCCUAUUGUCUGUAGCAUUUGCAUAUUUUGUUAAGCAUAAUGAUCAAUUUUUUAUAUUUUUCCGUAUUUCCUUUUUUUGUCAUUUUGCUCAUUUCUUCUUGAAAACAUAGGCCAGUAAUAUCCUUGAAGUCUAUCAGGGCUUAGAAAAAAAAAUCCAGGAAAAUUGUUACUUUUUAACCAUCAGUAUUGGUGAUGCAACAAAUGAAUAAAGGAUGACAUGAAAAUAGAUUUA
Long non-coding RNA from Penaeus monodon (black tiger shrimp), 1973 nucleotides. RefSeq lists it as uncharacterized. The transcript has 4 exons. NCBI's taxonomy places the organism in Eukaryota, Metazoa, Arthropoda, Malacostraca, Decapoda, Penaeidae. The record is from RefSeq and is a predicted model, not a curated record.